CAUAUACUCCCUCAGUCCGGAAAUACUUGUCAUCAAAAUAAAUAAAAAAGAAUGUAUGUAGAUAUAUUUUAGUUCUAGAUACAUACCUUUUUGUCCAUUUUGAUGACAAGCAUUUUCAGUCGGAGGAAGUGCCAU
Molecule: non-coding RNA, 135 nt
Organism: Triticum aestivum (bread wheat)
Lineage: Eukaryota; Viridiplantae; Streptophyta; Magnoliopsida; Poales; Poaceae
Source: Rfam